GCCCAGAUAGCUCAGUCAGUAGAGCAUAAGACUUUUAAUCUGAUGGUUCAGGGUUCAAAUCCUUGUUUGGGCG
This 73-nucleotide transfer RNA is filed under the name Danionella translucida. It matches the Rfam family "tRNA". From Rfam's summary of the family: Transfer RNA (tRNA) molecules are approximately 80 nucleotides in length. Their secondary structure includes four short double-helical elements and three loops (D, anti-codon, and T loops). Further hydrogen bonds mediate the characteristic L-shaped molecular structure. tRNAs have two regions of fundamental functional importance: the anti-codon, which is responsible for specific mRNA codon recognition, and the 3' end, to which the tRNAs corresponding amino acid is attached (by aminoacyl-tRNA synthetases). tRNAs cope with the degeneracy of the genetic code in two manners: having more than one tRNA (with a specific anti-codon) for a particular amino acid; and 'wobble' base-pairing, i.e. permitting non-standard base-pairing at the 3rd anti-codon position. RNAcentral also lists the same sequence under 1 other name. Lineage: Eukaryota; Metazoa; Chordata; Actinopteri; Cypriniformes; Danionidae. The record is from Rfam by way of RNAcentral.